UACGUAGGGUGCAAGCGUUAAUCGGAUUUACUGGGCGUAAAGCGUGCGCAGGCGGUCAUGUAAGACAGUUGUGAAAUCCCUGGGCUCAACCUAGGAACUGCAUUUGUGACUGGCGUGCUGGAGUACGGCAGAGGGGGGUGGAAUUCCUCGUGUAGCAGUGAAAUGCGUAGAGAUCAGGAGGAACACCGAUGGCGAAGGCAGCCCCCUGGGCCUGUACUGACGCUCAUGCACGAAAGCGUGGGGAGCAAACAGG
RNAcentral lists this ribosomal RNA (253 nucleotides) under uncultured microorganism. Its description in RNAcentral is "partial 16S ribosomal RNA". It matches the Rfam family "Bacterial small subunit ribosomal RNA", at positions 524 to 776 of the family's 1533-position model. The record is from RNAcentral.